This 498-nucleotide ribosomal RNA is filed under the name uncultured bacterium. RNAcentral's name for it is "partial 16S ribosomal RNA". It matches the Rfam family "Bacterial small subunit ribosomal RNA", at positions 899 to 1397 of the family's 1533-position model. The record is from RNAcentral.
ACUCAAAUGAAUAGACGGGGACCCGCACAAGCGGUGGAUUAUGUGGAUUAAUUCGAUGCAACGCGAAAAACCUUACCUACCCUUGACAUGUACGGAACCCUCCAGAGAUGGAGGGGUGCCCGAAAGGGAGCCGUAACACAGGUGCUGCAUGGCUGUCGUCAGCUCGUGUCGUGAGAUGUUGGGUUAAGUCCCGCAACGAGCGCAACCCUUGUCAUUAGUUGCUACAUUUAGUUGGGCACUCUAAUGAGACUGCCGGUGACAAACCGGAGGAAGGUGGGGAUGACGUCAAGUCCUCAUGGCCCUUAUGGGUAGGGCUUCACACGUAAUACAAUGGUCGGUACAGAGGGUUGCCAACCCGCGAGGGGGAGCUAAUCCCAGAAAGCCGAUCGUAGUCCGGAUUGUUCUCUGCAACUCGAGAGCAUGAAGCCGGAAUCGCUAGUAAUCGCGGAUCAGCAUGUCGCGGUGAAUACGUUCCCGGGUCUUGCACACACCGCCCGU